Dipodomys spectabilis (banner-tailed kangaroo rat) is the source of this 529-nucleotide non-coding RNA. Lineage: Eukaryota; Metazoa; Chordata; Mammalia; Rodentia; Heteromyidae. The record is from the annotation of a RefSeq genome assembly.
CAUAGGCUGCUCACACUCUGUGCAGGAGAAGUUCCAGUCAGCAUACAGCAUGGACAUGAGGGCCUUUGCUCAGCUCCUGGGGCUCCUGCUGCUCUGGGUUGCAGGUGCCAGAUGUGACAUCCAGUUGACCCAGCCAACAUCAGUGUCAUCACCUCUGGGAGACAGAGUCAAGAUUACUUGCCAAGCCAGUCAGGGCAUUAGCAAUUAUUUACAUUGGUACCAGCAGAGAGCAGGGAAAGCUCCAAAGCUUCUGAUCAGUUAUGCAACUACUUUGCAAUCUGGAAUUCCAUCAAGGUUCAGUGGCAGUGGAUCUGGGACAGAGUUCACUCUCGCCAUCAGCAACCUGCAGCCUGAAGAUGCCGCAACAUAUUUCUGUCUACAGAGUGAUAGUUAUCCUCCCACAGUGACACAAGUCAUAACAAAAACCUCCCAGAGAAGCAGAAGUGAGAGGCUGGGCUGCCCCAGCUUCUCUUCUACCUGCACAACUGCCUCUACUCUACACAACUUCUCAGACAGAUGCAAACUUUAA